GUCCACGCCGUAAACGAUGUCUACUAGCCGUUGGAGUCCUUGAGGCUUUAGUGGCGCAGCUAACGCACUAAGUAGACCGCCUGGGGAGUACGGUCGCAAGAUUAAAACUCAAAUGAAUUGACGGGGGCCCGCACAAGCGGUGGAGCAUGUGGUUUAAUUCGACGCAACGCGAAGAACCUUACCAGGUCUUGACAUCUAGAGAACUUUCCAGAGAUGGAUUGGUGCCUUUCGGGAACUCUAAGACAGGUGCUGCAUGGCUGUCGU
RNAcentral lists this ribosomal RNA (264 nucleotides) under uncultured bacterium. Its description in RNAcentral is "partial 16S ribosomal RNA". It matches the Rfam family "Bacterial small subunit ribosomal RNA", at positions 793 to 1055 of the family's 1533-position model. The record is from RNAcentral.